RNAcentral lists this unclassified non-coding RNA (323 nucleotides) under Hevea brasiliensis (rubber tree). The record is from RNAcentral. Lineage: Eukaryota; Viridiplantae; Streptophyta; Magnoliopsida; Malpighiales; Euphorbiaceae.
AUCAGACUAUAAUUCGAGGCUUCCAAGUUAACUCCAAGCUUCGUUUCUAGAUCGUGCUACGAGUCCAACAAUGGUGGAACAUGAGAUAAAAUCCUCCAAAGGCUUAUUGAAUGCUUCCCACUUCAAAAAAGUAAUCCAAAGUGCUUGUAACUUCUUUGCUUGGCUGAAAGUCAAUCGUGUUGUAGGUGUAGCAAUGUAUGUUUAUUAUCCCCCUUUUAGAAAAUUCUUCAAUUAUACAACAAAAUGAGAUAAACCGCUAACAUCAGACAUCACGCACAAGAGAAUCAUUAGAAAAUUUAUCUUAAUUACGAGCAUUAUCAUUA